RNAcentral lists this ribosomal RNA (427 nucleotides) under uncultured bacterium. RNAcentral describes it as "bacterial SSU rRNA". It matches the Rfam family "Bacterial small subunit ribosomal RNA", at positions 355 to 796 of the family's 1533-position model. The record is from RNAcentral.
UAGGGAAUAUUGCACAAUGGAGGAAACUCUGAUGCAGCGACGCCGCGUGAGUGACGAAGGCCUUCGGGUUGUAAAGCUCUGUUCUCUGGGAAAAAGAAAGUGAUUGUACCAGAGAAGAAAGGACCGGCUAACUUCGUGCCAGCAGCCGCGGUAAGACGAGGGGUCCAAGCGUUGUUCGGAAUCAUUGGGCGUAAAGCGGGUGUAGGUGGCUCUAUAAGUCAGGAGUGAAAGCCCCAAGCUUAACUUGGGAAGUGCUUUUGAUACUGCAGAGCUUGAAUGUGGGAGAGGAUAAUAGAAUUCCAGGUGUAGUGGUGAAAUACGUAGAUAUCUGGAGGAAUACCGGUGGCGAAGGCGGUUAUCUGGCCCAACAUUGACACUGAGACCCGAAAGCGUGGGGAUCAAACAGGAUUAGAUACCCCCGUAGUCC